UCUCUCCAGCCCGAAUAGAGGAGGACCGGUCUUCGGUCAAGGGUAUAAGAGUAGCUGCGCUCCCCUGCUAGAACCUCCAAACAAGCUCUCAACUUGCUUUUGAUCAUGUUUUAUCACAGC
This 120-nucleotide small RNA is filed under the name Microtus ochrogaster (prairie vole). Its description in RNAcentral is "7SK RNA (ENSMOCG00000004431.1)". It matches the Rfam family "7SK RNA", at positions 148 to 273 of the family's 331-position model. From Rfam's summary of the family: 7SK was discovered as an abundant small nuclear RNA in the mid-70s but a possible function has only recently been suggested. Two independent studies have found that 7SK RNA binds the CDK9/cyclin T complex (known as elongation factor P-TEFb). Lineage: Eukaryota; Metazoa; Chordata; Mammalia; Rodentia; Cricetidae. The record is from RNAcentral.